RNAcentral lists this transfer RNA (73 nucleotides) under Sarcophilus harrisii (Tasmanian devil). It matches the Rfam family "tRNA". From Rfam's summary of the family: Transfer RNA (tRNA) molecules are approximately 80 nucleotides in length. Their secondary structure includes four short double-helical elements and three loops (D, anti-codon, and T loops). The record is from Rfam by way of RNAcentral. Lineage: Eukaryota; Metazoa; Chordata; Mammalia; Dasyuromorphia; Dasyuridae.
ACCAAAAUGGUUCAAGUGAUAGAGCAUCAGACUUUUAAUAUGAGGAUCCAGGUUUAAAGUCCCUGUUUGGGUG